GAAAUGCGAUACGUAAUGCGAAUUGCAGAAUUUAGUGAAUCAUCAAAUCUUUGAACGCAGAUUGCGCCUGAGCGUGAGUUCAGGCAUGCCUCUUUCAGUGUCUGUUCCAUUUUACUCUUUCCUGGUGCUUUUUGAAGCAUCAAGAAGGGAGACUGGGCCUCUUGACUUACUUGGUCAAGUUGCCUCAAGUGACGCGAUGCUCAAACCGAAGUGGUUGAGAGAAGCAUUACACACGAGUUAUGGCGUUACUGCCUCUUGUUCCUGUGUUCCGCUUUUCGCUUGCAGGCCACCUCACCUUGUGACACAUCGACGAUGGACGAAAGCAUUUUUGCUGUCGUCACUUUACACAUCAUCACAAUUGACCUGAAAUGAGGUAAGAGGACCCGCUGAAUUUAA
RNAcentral lists this unclassified non-coding RNA (396 nucleotides) under uncultured fungus. RNAcentral's name for it is "sequence contains ITS1". The stretch from base 1 to 103 matches the Rfam family "5.8S ribosomal RNA", at positions 50 to 154 of the family's 154-position model. Lineage: Eukaryota; Fungi. The record is from RNAcentral.